UACGUAGGGUGCGAGCGUUAAUCGGAAUUACUGGGCGUAAAGCGUGCGCAGGCGGUUCGUUAAGUUCGUCGUGAAAGCCCCGGGCUCAACCUGGGAAUGGCGAUGGAAACUGGCGGGCUGGAGUGCGGCAGAGGGGGGUGGAAUUCCGCGUGUAGCAGUGAAAUGCGUAGAUAUGCGGAGGAACACCGAUGGCGAAGGCAAUCCCCUGGGCCUGCACUGACGCUCAUGCACGAAAGCGUGGGGAGCAAACAGG
This 253-nucleotide ribosomal RNA is filed under the name uncultured bacterium. RNAcentral describes it as "partial 16S ribosomal RNA". It matches the Rfam family "Bacterial small subunit ribosomal RNA", at positions 524 to 776 of the family's 1533-position model. The record is from RNAcentral.